Molecule: long non-coding RNA, 378 nt
Organism: Silurus meridionalis
Lineage: Eukaryota; Metazoa; Chordata; Actinopteri; Siluriformes; Siluridae
Exons: 3
Source: RefSeq, a predicted model, not a curated record
CUGAACACUGGUGAUGUCACUGGAUAUCUGGUGCAGCCGGGAGCGAGUCAUGUGUGUGGAUUGAGGAAUCCAGCCAUUAUCGGGUUAAAAUCAUCCCACUUCCUGGUUUAGAGUUUCUUGGCGCAUCAUGACCUGGUUAAACCGGUGUCUGGGAGACCAGUUCCAGUGUAAGGGACAAGUUCCUCUCUGCUUGUUGGUGGUUUCCUUCAGUGUGCAGUGGUGUCGUAUGAGUGCAGGUGUUUGCUGUGGAUAGAAGAUCAUUAGAGUAGGCUCCCCAGCCCUGGAGUCCAAGCGUUCUUGUGUGGUAUAUCAUGUAUGGUUAUGUCAUUUUAAUAGUUCUUAAUAAACUGUGUAUUAUGUCCUGACCCAGCUGUAGAC